Molecule: long non-coding RNA, 3595 nt
Organism: Myotis myotis
Lineage: Eukaryota; Metazoa; Chordata; Mammalia; Chiroptera; Vespertilionidae
Exons: 2
Source: RefSeq, a predicted model, not a curated record
UUUACUAUGGUUGCAAAUAUCAAAAAAUUUCUAUAUGUGACACGGCACCAGAGUUAGGGUUUUUCAAAAUGCUGACAUGCCGACCUCAAAAGGUUCGCCAUCACUGGUCUAGACUAAUAUCUUACUGUUUUUGUCAGUAUUGAUGGAAUUGAGACCACAUCUCAUUAAUAGAGAUAUUCCCCUUUAUAAGGCUUUAUCUCUUGUGUGUAAAGUUAUUGGCAUUUUGCAGUUUUACUGGAAAUGUUACUGUUUGAAUUGAGCUAAGAUGCUUUAUUUCUGUACUUCUGGAUUUGUGUAAUUCGGUUGUGAGGGGAUUUUUUUUUUUUUAAGAGAAAUUAGUUAACUAAUGUGAGCAUCCAAAGGUCUGGGUGCUGGCAACAGGUUAUGACAAUCCUGGUCACCUAGGAUCUUAGCAUCUAGUAUUGACACAGCCAGUCACAGGUCUUUGUAUAUUAGAUAAGGUGAUUUGGCUCAGUGGUGCAUUGUCCCAUGCACCAGAGGGUAAGGGUGUGUGUGGGAGGCAACUGAUCAGUGUUUCUUCCUUACAUUGAUGUCUCCCUUUCUCUAAAAUCAAUCGUAAAAAAUAUAUAAAGUUUUCUGCAAAUCUCAGUCUACUAAAAUUGGAAAUUAGUCUGUAGUGUUGAGUAGUGCUGUUAACUUACCACCAGGUGGUGUUAUGACAAAUGUGCACCCAAGUAGCAGCUUGGGAAGAGAAAAAUAAACUUACUGAAGAACAGCUGCUCCUUGACUUAAGGUAGUGUUAUAUCCAGAUUAACUCAUGAAUUGAAAAUACCGUAGGUCAGAAAUGCCUUCAGUGAACCUAGCUACCAAAUCAGCCUAGCUUUAAAAUGUGCUCAGAACACUAUAUUUUACAGUUGGGCAAUUACCAUCAGUUUUUAUCUCAAGAGUAAUUACCUUCCUCUUCUCACCCAAAGCAGGAGAUACAGGUGGGCAUUUUGUAGACAUGAUGGAAUGCAAAAACACUACCCCAAACACCCUGGCAACACAGUACACUGUAGAGUAUUAGUUGUUUACCCUUGGGAGUUUGGGACUGACUUGGAGCUGUGGCCCACUGACACUGCCCAGCAUCAUAAGAGAGUAUUGCACUACAUCUUGCUAGCCUUUCUACUGAAUGGGAAUCACCUCUGCACCAUUAUUAAGUUGAAGAAUCAUAAGUUGAACAUUGUCAGUUGGGAGUGUCUGUGCCGAUAGGCAGAAAAGUAUGUAAAUUAUUAGUAUUUAAGUGUGCAGCUUGAAUUGUUAACAUAAACAUCCCUGUAUAGCCAUUACUUGAGAUCAAGAAAGGGAGUUUUUAAACCUUUCAUUUCAGCAAACCAUAGAAGAAAUGUAGAGCUUAGGUGAACACUGAAUAAUCAUAGCUCACCAAGACAUGCAGGCUUCCUAGAGGAUAAUCACUAGCCUCCCCCAAUUUUUCUCAGUGAAUGGUUUUUCUAAUAUAUUUUUUAAAAAUAUAUUACUGAUUUCAGAGGGAGAGAUAGAAACAUCAAUGAUGAGAGAGAAUCAUUGAUUGGCUGCCUCCUGCACGCUCCCUAUUGGGUAUGGAGCCCACAACCCAGGCAGUGCCCUUGAUCAGAAUUGAACCUGGGAUCCUUCAGUCCACAGGUGACACUAUCCACUAAGCCAAACAAGCUAGGGCUGUCGUUUUCUUUACAUCUCAGGUGGUAGCAUCUGACUGGCCAAGUCUGGUAUCUGGCCCAGCUGCCAGAGGUGAGAAGAUAGCUAGCCCCUUUGGCUUUCAUAGUGGAAGUGAGGCCCAAACUCAAAUAUUGCCUCCGUCCCCUCCAAGUGUUCGUGUUAGGCAGCCAAAACUUGUGAAAUAGCCCUUGGGACCCACUGGUGGAAAUACAGCUGCUGGCAAAUGGAAGCAAGUGCCAAAGCCUUUCCUGGGCUUUUUAUCCAAAGGCUCUGAAGAGUUAGCUUGUGGUCAUUAGGAUAUGUGGCAGCUGAUGACAAGAGCUGAGAGCCUAUUGACCAAUCGGGCAAGGAAAGAACACCUACUAAAGUCAGAACUUGGGAAUAGGUCCAGAGAGCAGACAACCAGCAGACAGCUCUGGAGAACCAGGAAAAGGACACAAACGUGGGGCCAGAGGAAAACAAGGAUUUGUUGACAUGAGAUGGGGUGGGGUGGGUUUUUACCUCCAGACAGAAUCUGGGCUUGCAAAACACUUGUGAAGGCUGCUGGAACCCACAGCAGAGUGAUAAUAUGGGGUUCCUGCUCCUCCCAUCUAUGAUCUCCCAAAGGGGUCCAAGAAACCAGCCACAGUCCCCAGCUCACCACCUCAACUUCUGGCUGGGAAGUUAGGCAAAGGCAUGCAGAAGUCAGCCAGGAUGUAGUAGAUUGAAGGAUGCCCUUCUCUGCAGAGCAUUUUACAAGGUACAUUUGAGAGGCCGGGCUUUACAAUUAGAAAUCUGGGUUCAAAUUCUGACACCAACAGAUUCACUGACACUUUGGACCUUUUUGGUUUUUGUUAUCACAGGGCUGUUGUGGCCGUUAAAGGAGAUCUAAAUGCCAGUAUGUCUCUUCUAGUAUUUAUCAUCUAAUAAUAAUUUUGUUUGCAGAUAUUAUUAACAGGUAAGAGCCCAGGCCUUCAAGCCAGAGUCUGGAUUCAAAGAUUGUUUUUCUCACUAUUACCUUAGGGUCAUCAGAUUUUUGAUGUUAUUUAAUCUAAAACAAACCACUUCCGUAUUUGUUGCUAAAGUUACAUUUAUAGUUUGAUAAGCAGCAUGACCAUGGUGAGAAGAUAAUUAUGUGCCCUGAGCCUGCUGUGAAUAUGUCAUUUAAACUUCCCAACAUCCCUGUAAUGGGCGGAUUCCAUUACCUCACUUUACAGCGAUUUUAAUUUGUGCAAUACAUCUUAGGGGAAUGUGUGAUUUCUCUUAGGCUUGGAAAAAUAUUUAGGGUAUCUCAAGAUCCCCACUUCUGAUUUGAGAAUAAGACCAUAGGUUGGGAAGAAGAACUUAUCUGAUCCCAUACCCUCACAUUCAUAAAUAAGAUGGAGCCCCCCAGGAGCUCUGAAGUUGAAAGGAAACCAUUGAGCCUCUGCUGCUCAGUCCUGUAUUGUACCAUUUCACCUAGCCAGGUGCAGCUGGGCCUUUCCCCCCUGAGGGGAGGACUGCUGUGACCUAUUCAUCCUGCCCUCACUGGUGGGCCAUCAACUGCCCCAUAACCGUCACAAGUAUUAGUACUACUCUGAACAUACUGAAAACCAUUGAAUUAUACUUUUUAAAUGGAUGAAUUAUAUCAAUAAAGUCGUGUAUAUGCACAAAUAUAUAUGAAUUAAAACAGCAAACAAUUCCAAAUUUUCCUUGUUUUGAAGGUACAUUUACCCAAAAUGAGCAACAUUCCUUGAAUGCAAUGAACUGCUCAUCAGCUCCCAUGUGUGACUAGAACAUACUCAUAACUGCUUCCAGAUUUCAGAUGCAUGCUGGGAGGACGCCAUGCGGACAGGAAGAUGACCAUCUACAGGCCGAGGGGAGAGGGCUGGACCAAAUCCUUCCCUCGCAGCCCUGCCGACACCUGGAUUUUAGACUCCUAGACUCCAGAACUGUGAGACAAUAAAUUUCUGUUGUCUGA